Molecule: ribosomal RNA, 320 nt
Filed under: uncultured bacterium
Lineage: Bacteria
Description: bacterial SSU rRNA
Rfam family: Bacterial small subunit ribosomal RNA
Source: RNAcentral
UGACGGUACCUGACUAAGAAGCCCCGGCUAACUACGUGCCAGCAGCCGCGGUAAUACGUAGGGGGCAAGCGUUAUCCGGAUUUACUGGGUGUAAAGGGAGCGUAGACGGUAUAGCAAGUCUGAAGUGAAAUGCAUGGGCUCAACCCAUGAACUGCUUUGGAAACUGUUAAACUAGAGUGCAGGAGAGGUAAGUGGAAUUCCUAGUGUAGCGGUGAAAUGCGUAGAUAUUAGGAGGAACACCAGUGGCGAAGGCGGCUUACUGGACUGUAACUGACGUUGAGGCUCGAAAGCGUGGGGAGCAAACAGGAUUAGAUACCCUG